Molecule: ribosomal RNA, 497 nt
Filed under: uncultured bacterium
Lineage: Bacteria
Description: partial 16S ribosomal RNA
Rfam family: Bacterial small subunit ribosomal RNA
Source: RNAcentral
GAUGAACGCUGGCGGCGUGCCUAAUACAUGCAAGUCGAGCGAACAGAUGAGGAGCUUGCUCCUCUGACGUUAGCGGCGGACGGGUGAGUAACACGUGGAUAACCUACCUAUAAGACUGGGAUAACUUCGGGAAACCGGAGCUAAUACCGGAUAAUAUAUUGAACCGCAUGGUUCAAUAGUGAAAUACGGUUUUGCUGUCACUUAUAGAUGGAUCCGCGCCGCAUUAGCUAGUUGGUAAGGUAACGGCUUACCAAGGCAACGAUGCGUAGCCGACCUGAGAGGGUGAUCGGCCACACUGGAACUGAGACACGGUCCAGACUCCUACGGGAGGCAGCAGUAGGGAAUCUUCCGCAAAGGGCGAAAGCCUGACGGAGCAACGCCGCGUGAGUGAUGAAGGUCUUCGGAUCGUAAAACUCUGUUAUUAGGGAAGAACAAAUGUGUAAGUAACUAUGCACGUCUUGACGGUACCUAAUCAGAAAGCCACGGCUAACUACGUG